This 547-nucleotide ribosomal RNA is filed under the name uncultured rumen bacterium. RNAcentral's name for it is "bacterial SSU rRNA". It matches the Rfam family "Bacterial small subunit ribosomal RNA", at positions 77 to 618 of the family's 1533-position model. The record is from RNAcentral.
AGCUUGCUUCUCUGCUGACGAGUGGCGGACGGGUGAGUAAUGUCUGGGAAGCUGCCUGCUUGAGGGGGAUAGCGGAGCGAAAGUUCCGAUAAUACCGCGUAAGCCCGAGAGGGGAAAGUGCGGGACCGCAAGGCCGCACGCGAGCAGAUGCGCCCAGAUGGGAUUAGGCAGUUGGGGAGGUAAUGGCUCACCAAACCGAUGAUCUCUAGCUGGUUUGAGAGGACAAUCAGCCACAUUGGAAUUGAGAAACGGACCAAACUCCUACGGGAGGCAGCAGUGGGGAAUAUUGCACAAUGGGGGAAACCCUGAUGCAGCCAUGCCGCGUGUGUGAAGAAGGCCUUCGGGUUGUAAAGCACUUUUGCAUUCGAGGAAGACAGCACGUAAAUAAACGUGUUAUUUGACGUUAGAGUGUGAAUAAGCACCGGCAAACUCCGUGCCAGCAGCCGCGGUAAUACGGAGGGUGCGAGCGUUAAUCGGAAUGACUGGGCGUAAAGGGCACGCAGGUGGCGAGAUAAGUUGGAUGUGAAAUACCCGGGCUUAACCUGGG